GAUGAAGAACGUAGCGAAAUGCGAUAAGUAAUGUGAAUUGCAGAAUUCAGUGAAUCAUCGAAUCUUUGAACGCACAUUGCGCCCCCUGGUAUUCCGGGGGGCAUGCCUGUCCGAGCGUCAUUACAACCCUCAAGCUCAGCUUGGUGUUGGGCCCCGCCGCCCCGGCGGGCCCUAAAGUCAGUGGCGGUGCCGUCCGGCUCCGAGCGUAGUAAUUCUUCUCGCUCUGGAGGCCCGGUCGUGUGCUCGCCAGCAACCCCCAAUUUUUUUCAGGUUGACCUCGGAUUAGGUAGGGAUACCCGCUGAACUUAAGCAUAUCAAUAAGCGGAGGA
Molecule: unclassified non-coding RNA, 329 nt
Filed under: soil metagenome
Description: partial contains 5.8S ribosomal RNA, internal transcribed spacer 2, and large subunit ribosomal RNA
Rfam family: 5.8S ribosomal RNA (bases 1-120)
Source: RNAcentral